GGUGUUGUUGCUUUUCCUUGAUCAAAACUUACCAUUCCAUCAUUGAUCAACCGUUGCACCUUAUACUUUAAAGCAGUGCAAUUUUCAGUAGAAUGGCCAGUAAUUUCAUAGUGGUAGUCACAGCGGGCUGUAGGAUCAUACCACUUUGGAUAGGGUGGUUUAAGCAGUUCCACAUGGCUGGGGGCAAUCAAGUGGCUAUUAUAGAGUUCUCGAUAUAACUCUGUAUAAGUCAUAGGGAUUGGAUCAAAUACAGGUUUUUCUCGAGUAGUCCGUUGUUCUCGUGAGCCACUUGCUGGGUUAGUAGGGC
Molecule: long non-coding RNA, 307 nt
Filed under: Durio zibethinus
Lineage: Eukaryota; Viridiplantae; Streptophyta; Magnoliopsida; Malvales; Malvaceae
Description: long non-coding RNA (DZIB_LNC002158)
Source: RNAcentral